RNAcentral lists this ribosomal RNA (422 nucleotides) under uncultured bacterium. RNAcentral's name for it is "bacterial SSU rRNA". It matches the Rfam family "Bacterial small subunit ribosomal RNA", at positions 362 to 775 of the family's 1533-position model. The record is from RNAcentral.
UCUUCCGCAAUGGACGAAAGUCUGACGGAGCAAUGCCGCGUGAGUUAUGAAGGUUUUUGGAUCUUAAAACUCUUUUGUUAGGGAAGAACAAGUACCGCUCGAAUAGGGCGGUACCUUGACGGUACCUGACCAGAAAGCCACGGCUAACUACGUGCCAGCAGCCGCGGUAAUACGUAGGUGGCAAGCGUUGUCCGGAAUUAUUGGGCGUAAAGCGCGCGCAGGCGGUUUCUUAAGUCUGAUGUGAAAGCCCCCGGCUCAACCGGGGAGGGUCAUUGGAAACUGGGGAACUUGAGUGCAGAAGAGGAGGGUGGAAUUCCACGUGUAGCGGUGAAAUGCGUAGAGAUGUGGAGGAACACCAGUGGCGAAGGCGACUCUCUGGUCUGUAACUGACGCUGAGGCGCGAAAGCGUGGGGAGCGAACAG